GCCUCUAAUGAUUAAAAAUAUAUCUUUUGUUCUUCCGUGGUUUUCUUAUGUGAAAAAAGUAUUUGGAAAUCUGUACUGAAGAGGC
Small nucleolar RNA from Amaranthus tricolor (Joseph's coat), 85 nucleotides. RefSeq annotates it as small nucleolar RNA Z159/U59. The record is from RefSeq and is a predicted model, not a curated record. The transcript has a single exon. NCBI's taxonomy places the organism in Eukaryota, Viridiplantae, Streptophyta, Magnoliopsida, Caryophyllales, Amaranthaceae.